GCUUCUGAUUCUCAAGUCAAUCACUUAAUAAUCUUUUACAGGAAAUACGAACCUAAAUUUUUUCACUGCUUCCAAAGCUCCCCUCAAAAAAGAAAUUCUUUAAUGUUUUGAAUGACUCCUUCAUUGGAUAAGUUUGCCAAGAAUUCCUGUUUGUCUGAAGAUGUGAGGCAGACCAGAAAAGUUCAAUAAACAUCCAUUUUCAGAGGAGAAUCAGUUCCAUUUGAUUCAAUUCACCUUCUGGACUUUGUAUGUUGAUUCUCCUACUAUGCAAGGAUAAGAACUGCAAAAUCAAGCAGGCUGAUGAUUCACAGAGAGAUGAACACUGAUUUUUGCUCCUGUCUGGUUCAAACCACAGUGAUGCGGCAGCUUCGGAAAAUACCUUCUGAAGUCAAGAGCUGUUCACUCAGGUGCUACAGAAAGAUUAACUUCAAGCCCUUCACUCCCAGGAAUUUCUCUGAUUCCUCACACUCCAGUAUGAAAGAUGUUGCGUCAGAAAUUGAAGCAUGAAUUAGAGGAGUAAUUCUCCAUUCAGCAGGGGACUCCUCACUGAACAAGCGACUAUCAG
This 565-nucleotide long non-coding RNA is filed under the name Corvus moneduloides (New Caledonian crow). Its description in RNAcentral is "lncRNA (ENSCMUG00000019926.1)". Lineage: Eukaryota; Metazoa; Chordata; Aves; Passeriformes; Corvidae. The record is from RNAcentral.